This is an RNA transcript of Ricinus communis (castor bean), 4591 nucleotides long. It is a transcript of the gene named putative disease resistance RPP13-like protein 1, with no coding region annotated. Lineage: Eukaryota; Viridiplantae; Streptophyta; Magnoliopsida; Malpighiales; Euphorbiaceae. The record is from RefSeq and is a predicted model, not a curated record. The transcript is spliced from 3 exons.
AACUACAGUUCUGAAACCACUUUACUCUUCUCAUUCUUCUUCUUCUUCUUUCCUCCAACCAAAAUCCAAAUCUGAUCCAACUCGAUCCAUUCCUUUGACAAGGAUGGCAGGGGCGUUGAUAGGAGGGUCAUUUCUGUCAGCUUUCCUUCAGGUGUUGUUUGAUAGAAUGGCUUCUCGCGAGGUUCUUGACUUCUUUAAAGGCCAAAAGCUCAACGAUGCACUGUUGAACAAGUUGAAGACUACCAUGAUUUCUGUUAAUGCAGUGCUUGACGAUGCAGAAGAGAAGCAAAUCACUAAACCAGCUGUGAAGGAAUGGCUUGACGAGCUCAAAGAUGCUGCCUACGAAGCUGAUGACUUGUUGGAUGAAAUCGCUUAUGAAUGUUUGAGGUCGGAAGUGGAAGCUACUUCUCAAACCGAUGUGGAUCAGGUGCGGAACUUCUUCUCUAAUUUUUCUCCAUUUAAGAAGGUGAAGGAAGUAAAGUUAGAAGAGGUCUCAAAGCUAGAAGAGAUCCUUGAGAGACUGGAACUUCUAGUGAAACAAAAGGAAGCACUUGGUCUUAGAGAGGGUAUUGAAGAAAGGCAUUCACACAAGAUACCAACAACUUCUCUGGUGGAUGAAUCUGUUGGUAUUUAUGGGAGGGAUUUUGAUAAGAAGGCCAUAGUCAAGCAAUUGUUUGAAGCAAAUGGCAACGAUCUAAGCGUGAUCCCCAUAGUGGGUAUGGGUGGGGUUGGUAAAACAACCCUUGCUCAGUAUGUGUAUAAUGAACCCAGGGUGCAAGAGUCAUUUGAUCUUAAAGCAUGGGUCUGUGUAUCCGCAGUUUUUGAUGUCUUCAAGGUAACAAAAGAUAUUCUUGAAGAUGUCACUAGGAAGAAAUGUGAUAUCACGACACUGAAUCUCCUUCAGCUGGAGCUAAAGGAGAAGUUGAAGGGAAAAAGGUUUCUGCUUGUUUUAGAUGACGUUUGGGAUGAUAAUUAUGCUAACUGGGAUGUUCUGCGGAAGCCUUUGAAAUCGGGGGCACUGGGCAGUAAGAUAAUUGUCACAACACGCCAUGAAACUGUAGCGUCAAUCAUGGGCAAUGUUCUCCAUCAUCAUCAUCUAACAGAGCUAAGCGAUCAUGAUUGCUGGCUGUUGUUUUCGAAACAUGCAUUUGGUGAAGGAAAUUCAGCUGCACAUCCAGAGUUGGCAAUACUUGGUCAAGAAAUUGUGAGAAAGUGUAGAGGCUUGCCUUUAGCGGCAAAAGCACUCGGUGGGGUCUUGCGUUCUAAAAGAGAUACUAAGGAGUGGGAAAGAAUAUUUAAAAGCCUUCUAUGGGAGCUAUCGAAUGAUGAAAUUCUUCCUGCCCUAAGAUUAAGCUAUCAUUACCUACCACCACAUCUGAAGAGAUGUUUUGCAUAUUGUGCUGUAUUCCCAAAGGACUAUAAUUUUUCAAAGGAGGAAUUAAUCCUUUUGUGGAGAGCGGAAGGUUUUAUAGUUCAGCCUAAAGGGAGUAGGGAAAAGGAAGAUGUUGGUGCUGAGUACUUUGAAGAUCUCGUAUCAAGGUCCUUCUUUCAGAAAUCACAUCUGUAUAAAUCAGCUUUCGUCAUGCACGACCUCAUUAAUGAUUUAGCUAAAUAUGUUUCUGGGGAAUUUUGCUUUCAAUGGGAGAAUGGCGAUUCAUGUGAAGUUGCCAAGAGAACUCGUCAUCUGUCAUAUCUAAGAACAAAUCAUGACACCUCUGUCAAAUUUGAGAGCAUAUAUAGAGCUAAGCAUUUGCGCACUCUGCGUGUGAAGUGGUCAUGGUGGACUGAUAGAAAGGUAAAGUAUGACUUAUUGCCGUCACUCAGGCGUUUGCGGGUGCUAUCUCUGUUUCAGUGUGAUGAUGUAGUUCUGUUGCCAAAUACUAUUGGCAAUUUGAAACAUUUACGAUAUUUGGAUCUGUCUGGAACAUCGAUCAAAAGGUUACCUGACUCCAUAAAUAGUUUGUAUAACUUGGAAACUUUAUUAAUGUAUGGGUGCCAAGAUCUCAUCAAAUUACCAAUUACCAUGUCAAGUUUAAUCAGUUUGUGUCAUCUUGAUAUUAGAGAAACAAAAUUGCAAGAGAUGCCACUGAAGAUGAGUAAACUGACGAAGCUUGAAAUGUUAACUGAUUUCGUUUUGGGGAAAGAGAGUGGCUCCAGUAUCAAGGAACUGGGGGAGCUUCAGAAUCUAAGAGGAUCCCUUUGUAUUUGGAAUCUUCAAAAUGUUGCAGAUGCCCAAGAUGCUAUGGCAGCUAAUCUGAAGAAUAAAAAGCACCUUAGGAUGUUAGACUUGAGAUGGGACGGUGAGACUGAUGAUUCACUUCAUGAAAGAGCCAUAGUUGAGCAAUUACAGCCUCAUAUGAAUGUGGAGUCUUUGUGCAUUGUUGGUUAUGGGGGUACAAGAUUUCCGGAUUGGAUAGCAAAUCCUACUUUCUCACAUAUGGUAACCUUGGAGCUUAGUAGAUGUAAAUACUGCUCCUUUUUACCACCACUCGGGCAGCUAGUGUCUCUAAAAUCUCUUUAUAUCAUAGCACUUGAUUCCAUAGUUUCUGUUGGUCUGGAGUUCUAUGGAAGUUGCACACACCCGAAGAAGCCAUUUGGUUCCCUUGAAAUUUUACAUUUUGAAAGAAUGCCACAGUGGCGCGAGUGGAUUUGUCAUGUAGAUGAAGGGGAAAAUGGAGCUUUCCCACUCCUGCAACAGCUUUACAUAAACGAAUGUCCCAACCUGAUACAGACACUGCCCGGUAACCUUCCUUCUCUGACAACAAUAAAGAUUGUGGGAUGUCCGCAACUUGCGGCUUCAUUUCCUAGCGCUCCAGCCAUCCAAAAAUUGAAGUUAAAGGAUGAUCAUCGUAAUGUGCUGUUGCAGAAUUUUGAUUUUAGUAGUCUCAAAGUUGUAAAAUUCCACUCAGUAGAUCCUUUGCUUCAAGGAAUGGAGAAAAUUGGUGUCCUUUUCAUAUCGGAAGAAAUUGAAGUUGGAAACUGCGAUUCACUCAAGUGCUUCCCAUUGGAGUUGUUCCCUGAGUUAUACAGUCUUGAAAUCUAUAGGUGUCAAAACCUUGAGUGCAUCUCUGAAGCAGAGGUAACUUCUAAAGGUCUCAAUGUUCUCGAAUCCAUAAAAAUUAGGGAGUGUCCUAAGUUAAUUUCUUUCCCCAAAGGAGGUUUAAACGCCCCAAAUCUGACCAGUCUUCACUUAUGCGAUUGUUCAAAUUUGAAAUCCUUGCCUGAAUGUAUGCACUCCCUUCUCCCUUCUCUUUAUGCUUUGGCAAUAAAUAAUUGUCCAAAACUCGAGUCAUUUCCAGAAGGAGGUUUGCCCCCCAAAUUAUACUCACUUGUCAUUGAAAGUUGUGACAAACUUGUUACUGGCCGCAUGAAAUGGAAUUUGCAAACAAUUUCUUUAAAAUACUUCAGUAUAAGCAAGAAUGAAGAUGUGGAAUCUUUUCCUGAGAAGAUGCUAUUACCUUCUACUCUUACCUGUCUCCAAAUAUCCAAUUUUCAAAAUUUGAAAUCAUUGGACUAUGAUGGGAUUCAGCAUCUCACCUCUCUUACGGAACUAACAAUCAGCAACUGCCCUAAGCUACAGUCUGUGACAGAACAGGAGUUGCCCUUGACUGUUACCUAUCUUGACAUCUGGGAUCUUCAGAAUCUGAAAUCUCUGGACUUCAGGGGGCUCUGUUAUCUUACCUCUCUUAAAGAAUUGGAGAUCUGGAACUGUCCUAACCUCCAGUCGAUGCCAGAAGAUGGGCUGCCUUCUAGUCUUGUCUGUCUUACAAUCUCAAAUCUUCAGAAUCUGCAAUCUCUGAACUUCAAGGGGCUUCAGGACCUCACUUUUCUUAUAGAGUUGGAUAUCUUGGACUGUCCUAAGCUGGAGUCCAUACCCGAAGAGGGGCUUCCCACUUCCCUUUCUUCUUUAAUUAUCUACAACUGUCCUUCGCUGAAACAAAGGUGUAAACAGGAGAAAGGGGAGGAUUGGCCCAAAAUCUCUCACAUUCGCCACAUAGAAAUUGAUGGUGAUACUAUGAAUAAAUGCUGAGUCUAAAUGAGUUCAUAAUUUUCCACUCUGAAUGUCCAUAUCAUAUCUCUGUUCCUAAUGCAUCAAAUUCUUCCAAGCUGAUCAUACUUUAAGAAGGUGCACUCUUUUCCAGUAUGAGGAGCAUCCCCUGCUUUUUGUUGCUGACAAAGCCCAAAGGCACAUUAGAUCCCUUCAGGAGAUUCAUGAUAGAGUUGCUGGCAAGUGUUAUUUCAGAUCUUUUUUAUUUCACCAUCAUCAACGACGGUAGAGGAAUCGACAAACAAGAUAGAAGAAGAUGUGGGAAGAAUGGCUUAGCAGGAACACAAAUACAAAAAGAAAAAAGCAGUCCCUCUACUCUCUUCCAUAUGCUGUUGGAUUUCCCUUCUCCACUCUCUUCUCUAUUAUUUUUUGUUACUUUUUCCUUUUUUUGGAUAAGUUCCUUUUGCUAGCUUUUGCAUGAAUAAGAUGGAUUCAUAAUCGAAAAAUAAAAAUAAAAAUUAAAUUGUACGGUGCAGCUCGUUGAAGAUCUAGAUGUAUAAUGGUUGAUUGAUGGAAAAUGGCGCUGGUUUUUUCCCUUUCAAA